Molecule: ribosomal RNA, 496 nt
Filed under: uncultured bacterium
Lineage: Bacteria
Description: partial 16S ribosomal RNA
Rfam family: Bacterial small subunit ribosomal RNA
Source: RNAcentral
AUGCACGCUGGCGGCGUGCCUCAUACAUGCAAGUCGCGCGAACGGACGAGAAGCUUGCUUCUCUGAUGUUAGCGGCGGACGGGUGAGUAACACGUGGAUAACCUACCUAUAAGACUGGGAUAACUUCGGGAAACCGGAGCUAAUACCGGAUAAUAUUUUGAACCGCAUGGUUCAAAAGUGAAAGACGGUCUUGCUGUCACUUAUAGAUGGAUCCGCGCUGCAUUAGCUAGUUGGUAAGGUAACGGCUUACCAAGGCAACGAUGCAUAGCCGACCUGAGAGGGUGAUCGGCCACACUGGAACUGAGACACGGUCCAGACUCCUACGGGAGGCAGCAGUAGGGAAUCUUCCGCAAUGGGCGAAAGCCUGACGGAGCAACGCCGCGUGAGUGAUGAAGGUCUUCGGAUCGUAAAACUCUGUUAUUAGGGAAGAACAUAUGUGUAAGUAACUGUGCACAUCUUGACGGUACCUAAUCAGAAAGCCACGGCUAACUACGUG